RNAcentral lists this ribosomal RNA (256 nucleotides) under uncultured bacterium. RNAcentral's name for it is "partial 16S ribosomal RNA". It matches the Rfam family "Bacterial small subunit ribosomal RNA", at positions 524 to 776 of the family's 1533-position model. The record is from RNAcentral.
UACAGAGGUCCCGAGCGUUGUUCGGAUUCACUGGGCGUAAAGGGUGCGCAGGUGGCAUGGUAAGUUUGAUGUGAAAGCCCCGGGCUUAACCCGGGAAUGGCAUUGAAUACUACUGUGCUGGAGGAUCGGAGGGGGGACUGGAAAUUCUUGGUGUAGCAGUGAAAUGCGUAGAUAUCAGGAGGAAUACCGAUGGGCGAAGGCAGGUCUCGUGGGCUGACACUGACGCUCAUGCACGAAAGCGUGGGGAGCAAACAGG